This 407-nucleotide ribosomal RNA is filed under the name uncultured bacterium. RNAcentral's name for it is "bacterial SSU rRNA". It matches the Rfam family "Bacterial small subunit ribosomal RNA", at positions 28 to 440 of the family's 1533-position model. The record is from RNAcentral.
GAUGAACGCUAGCGGCAGGCUUAACACAUGCAAGUCGAGGGGUAUGGCAGCAAUGCCAGAGACCGGCGCACGGGUGCGUAACGCGUAUGCAAUCUGCCUUUCACAAAGGGAUAGCCCAGAGAAAUUUGGAUUAAUACCUUAUAGUAUAUUUAAGUGGCAUCACUUGAUUAUUAAAGUAACAACGGUGAAAGAUGAGCAUGCGUCCCAUUAGCAGUUGGUAAGGUAACGGCUUACCAAGGCAACGAUGGGUAGGGGUCCUGAGAGGGAGAUCCCCCACACUGGUACUGAGACACGGACCAGACUCCUACGGGAGGCAGCAGUGAGGAAUAUUGGACAAUGGGGGCAACCCUGAUCCAGCCAUGCCGCGUGCAGGAUGAAGCAUCUAUGGUGUGUAAACUGUCUUUUAA